Long non-coding RNA from Oncorhynchus gorbuscha (pink salmon), 1375 nucleotides. RefSeq lists it as uncharacterized. Lineage: Eukaryota; Metazoa; Chordata; Actinopteri; Salmoniformes; Salmonidae. The record is from RefSeq and is a predicted model, not a curated record. The transcript has 3 exons.
GUGACCUUCCUCACCUGAGGUGGAAUCGGCCUUCCUCAUCUGAGGUGGAAGGUGACCUUCCUCAUCUGAGGGUGAAGGUGACCUUCCUCACCUGAGGUGGAAUCGACCUUCCUCAUCUGAAGUGGAAUCGGCCUUCCUCAUCUGAGGUGGAAUCGACCUUCCUCACCUGAGGUGGAAUCGACCUUCCUCAUCUGAGGUGGAAGGUGACCUUCCUCAUCUGAGGUGGAAUCGACCUUCCUCAUCUGAGGUGGAAUCGACCUUCCUCAUCUGAGGUGGAAGGUGACCUUCGUCAUCUGAGGGGGAAGGUGACCUUCCUCACCUUCCUCAUCUGAGGUGGAAUCGACCUUCCUCAUCUGAGGUGGAAUCGGCCUUCCUCAUCUGAGGUGGAAUCGACCUUCCUCAUCUGAGGUGGAAUCGACCUUCCUCAUCUGAGGUGGAAUCGACCUUCCUCAUCUGAGGUGGAAGGUGACCUUCGUCAUCUGAGGGGGAAGGUGACCUUCCUCACCUUCCUCAUCUGAGGUGGAAUCGACCUUCCUCAUCUGAGGUGGAAUCGGCCUUCCUCAUCUGAGGUGGAAUCGACCUUCCUCAUCUGAGGUGGAAUCGACCUUCCUCAUCUGAGGUGGAAUCGACCUUCCUCAUCUGAGGUGGAAUCGACCAUCCUCAUCUGAGGUGGAAGGUGACCUUCCUCACCUUCCUCAUCUGAGGUGGAAUCGACCUUCCUCAUCUGAGGGGGAAGUUGACCUUCCUCAUCUGAGGUGGAAGGUGUCCUUCCUCAUCUGAGGUGGAAGGUGACCUUCCUCAUUUGAGGGUGGAAGGUGACCUUCCUCAUCUGAGGUGGAAUCGAUCUUCCUCAUCUGAGGGGGAAGGUGACCUUCCUAAUCUGAGGUGGAAGGUGACCUUCCUCAUCUGAGGUGGAAGGUGACCUUCCUCAUCUGAGGUGGAAUCGACCUUCCUCAUCUGAGGGGGAAUCGACCUUCCUCAUCUGAGGGGGGAAGUUGACCUUCCUCAUCUGAGGUGGAAGGUGACCUUCCUCAUCUGAGGGGGGAAGUUGACCUUCCGCAUCUGAGGGGAAGGUGACCUUCAUCAUCUGAGGUGGAAGGUGACAGAGCUACAGCGGUGUUUGUCAAGAGAUCGUGGUGAAACAUCCUUGAAAAAUUUGGUUUUCUCACAAAUACUUCUGUAGCGUCCUAACGAGUCAGAUUGGACCAUCUUAAAACAAUUCCAUAUGUAACCAGGAUGUACGAUUUAGUUUAGUAGGAACUCAGUGCCCUGGGGCCCUUAGACCCCUUUUUCUUUUAACAGCUUUGUGAUGAGGAAUAUAAUUAUAUUGAAACUAACCUGCCAACUGGAACUAAGCCUUAGAGGCACAGACACA